This 1790-nucleotide long non-coding RNA is filed under the name Apis dorsata (giant honeybee). RNAcentral's name for it is "uncharacterized LOC116186189". The record is from RNAcentral. Lineage: Eukaryota; Metazoa; Arthropoda; Insecta; Hymenoptera; Apidae.
AUUUAUAACAAUGAUAAUAUUAUAGAAUGACAACUGAGAUAUAAUAUUGAAUUUUGUUUAACGCUAGGCUUUCAUUUAGAAAACAUAAAUUAAUGAAUAAUACGUAAUACUCAAUAUUCUCUCUCUACAUUCCCGUUGUCACAACAAAUACCACAGUUCGACCGCAAUUUCUAUGAUUCAUGUACCAAUUUAUAUUCUUUCAGCGCUUGGUCAAGAGGAUUUUUAAACCUACCCCCAAUGGAUACCAUUGACAGAGUUUGAAAAGUACUAUAGUGGAAGGGUUGCACAACGCAUAUGGUUAAUAUUGACGAAGUCAAGUCCCAAUGAAAAGCCAAGAUUGAAAAGCAGAAGGUAUACAGCCGACUGUACUCUUCUACCUGAAUAUUUCUUCCUGAGGAAAAAAAAGAUUGAUCGGGAACCGAGAAGGGAGCUACGACAAAUUAACUACGCACGAUCCUGAGAGAUAGCCGAUAUCGGUACCAGAGUAUAGCGGAUCCUGUGUACUGGAAGGCAUGUGUGUGUUGUACCGUGCAAGUCGGUCCUUAUACGGGUCUCGACACGAAGUUGGCUCUCCCUCGAGCAAAAAGAACCCUUCAUGCCUUGGCACGACUUCGUACCACGUUUUCGAUGGACCGUCGAAUACGCAUGAUACCGUGCAUCCUGUGUUUCUAUUUUUGAAACUAUGGCUAAUAAUGGAUAUUCGAAUUUCAACUUUGAAAUGAUUCGAAAUUUUAAGACCAUGAAGAUUUAAAGUAGUGAUUUCGAAUAUAUAUUUUCGUCAUUUGAAAUGAUUGGAAAUGAAUUCCAUCAGUAACUAUGGCCGAUUGAAUAUUAUUACCAGUCUUGGAUGCAAAGUGCGAAUAGUUCGAGCCUCGAGCUACGUAGAUUCUAGGAAGAAUCUAGUGGUAAUCGCCACGAUGGAAUAUUCAACUUUUGAACGAUGAUCGAAUUGAUUAUGGAUAAGAUCAAUGUCGAACAGUGAUGACCUAUAUAAUUCUAUGGACUCGCUUCUUUAUUACAAGCCACCGCAGUAGAAGAAGCUGAUCGAAGCUCUUUCGAACCCAUUAAUUACCUCUAGCGUCACAAUAGCUACCUGCACCUUCUAGGCAGGGUAAGAGAAGUUAAUACUAUACUAUGAUCGGACUAAAUGCAUACGUAUUUCUAAUAUUCUGGUUAGCACUUGCAUAUUGGCUUCUUGGAUUCACAAAUUAAAGUUUUGAAAGUCACAUUUUUUUGGAGAAAUCCGAAUCUGAAAAAAUGCACCGUGUGAAAUGUUGGAAAUAAUUUAAGAGAAAGAUAAACCGCGCAUAAAAUCGUAGCAAUUAAUCAAAUGGUUUUUUACGUCCAAUGCAAUAAAAUAUCGAGGAUGUCGAUUGAAAAGGCUCGCAAAAAUGGCGGAACAUCUGCCGGCAGGGAGCAAUGAUUUUCGAGAAGAGCGAUUCGCGAUUAAAAAUGACGCAUUCGUGGCGAGGUACUCGUUUAAUUACCGAUGCUCGUUCCAGCGUGGGUUCUCCGGCUUCGUUGCACCGCCACGGGCCCGAUCCCGGUCCGCCCACCCGCAUCCGCCACACUGGCCUACGUGGAAAGGUGCGAUAAACACACCUUUGUAAGAGUACGUAGUACGUAACCGCUGUCCACCGAUCUGCGUCGCUCUUUAGCUCCGCGUUUUUUCCGUAUACCAUUCGACUUUCGCCGUUUAACGCGGUACUUGAUCCUUUUCACUCGAUAUUCAACAAACAAUAUUGAAUCUGAACUGAAAUUGAAUGGAGAUAGAUAAAAUAGAUUAUUUU